AAGCAGAUGAAGAGGAUUACAUUUGUAACAUGCAUUAUUUAAAAAGAAAUUCUUAGGGCUGCCAGCCUUAGAACAAAGGUUAUCUAGCAGUGUAUGUCUCCUUCAAAA
This is a small nucleolar RNA of Psammomys obesus (fat sand rat), 108 nucleotides long. RefSeq annotates it as small nucleolar RNA U109. The transcript has a single exon. NCBI's taxonomy places the organism in Eukaryota, Metazoa, Chordata, Mammalia, Rodentia, Muridae. The record is from RefSeq and is a predicted model, not a curated record.